GUUUGCACACACCUAUGGUGUCGUCUUCCAAUCCAGAGGACAGCCAGAGAGAGAGACCUGCUGUCCUUUGUAUUAGGAGAUAACAUCACGGGCAGUAAAGUUGUGAGC
Molecule: non-coding RNA, 108 nt
Organism: Ornithorhynchus anatinus (platypus)
Lineage: Eukaryota; Metazoa; Chordata; Mammalia; Monotremata; Ornithorhynchidae
Source: RefSeq, marked provisional